AAAUGCGAUAAGUAAUGUGAAUUGCAGAAUUCAGUGAAUCAUCGAAUCUUUGAACGCACAUUGCGCCCGCCAGUAUUCUGGCGGGCAUGCCUGUUCGAGCGUCAUUUCAACCAUCAAGCCCCCGGCUUGUGUUGGGGACCUGCGGCUGCCCGCAGGCCCUGAAAAACAGUGGCGGGCUCGCUGUCACACCGAGCGUAGUAGCAUACAUUCUCGCUCAGGGCGUGCUGCGGGUUCCGGCCGUUAAACGACCUUCAUAACCCAAGGUUGAUCUCGGAUCAGGUAGGAAGACCCGCUGAACUUAAGC
RNAcentral lists this unclassified non-coding RNA (304 nucleotides) under plant metagenome. RNAcentral's name for it is "partial contains 5.8S ribosomal RNA, internal transcribed spacer 2, and large subunit ribosomal RNA". The stretch from base 1 to 104 matches the Rfam family "5.8S ribosomal RNA", at positions 51 to 154 of the family's 154-position model. The record is from RNAcentral.